GUCAGGAUGGCCGAGUGGUCUAAGGCGCCAGACUCAAGGUUGAUUCCUUCCUGAACAAAAAGGGUCUUCUGGUCUCCAAAUGGAGGCGUGGGUUCAAAUCCCUCUUCUGACA
RNAcentral lists this transfer RNA (112 nucleotides) under Perca fluviatilis (European perch). It matches the Rfam family "tRNA". Rfam says of the family: Transfer RNA (tRNA) molecules are approximately 80 nucleotides in length. Their secondary structure includes four short double-helical elements and three loops (D, anti-codon, and T loops). Lineage: Eukaryota; Metazoa; Chordata; Actinopteri; Perciformes; Percidae. The record is from Rfam by way of RNAcentral.